Molecule: ribosomal RNA, 497 nt
Filed under: uncultured bacterium
Lineage: Bacteria
Description: partial 16S ribosomal RNA
Rfam family: Bacterial small subunit ribosomal RNA
Source: RNAcentral
GAUGAACGCUGGCGGCGUGCCUAAUACAUGCAAGUCGAGCGAACAGAUGAGGAGCUUGCUCCUCUGACGUUAGCGGCGGACGGGUGAGUAACACGUGGAUAACCUACCUAUAAGACUGGGAUAACUUCGGGAAACCGGAGCUAAUACCGGAUAAUAUAUUGAACCGCAUGGUUCAAUAGUGAAAGACGGUUUUGCUGUCACUUAUAGAUGGAUCCGCGCCGCAUUAGCUAGUUGGUAAGGUAACGGCUUACCAAGGCGACGAUGCGUAGCCGACCUGAGAGGGUGAUCGGCCACACUGGAACUAAGACACGGUCCAGACUCCUACGGGAGGCAGCAGUAGGGAAUCUUCCGCAAUGGGCGAAAGCCUGACGGAGCAACGCCGCGUGAGUGAUGAAGGUCUUCGGAUCGUAAAACUCUGUUAUUAGGGAAGAACAAAUGUGUAAGUAACUAUGCACGUCUUGACGGUACCUAAUCAGAAAGCCACGGCUAACUACGUG